This 488-nucleotide unclassified non-coding RNA is filed under the name Hevea brasiliensis (rubber tree). The record is from RNAcentral. Lineage: Eukaryota; Viridiplantae; Streptophyta; Magnoliopsida; Malpighiales; Euphorbiaceae.
AAAAAAAAGAAUUUUUCUUUAGAUUUAAGUCAUUUUUCGGAUUCCAUAUUCUGUUAAAGUAAAAAAUAAAUCAUGGGAACCUUGUCUAGUUAAGCCAAUGAAACUCAAAAUAUAAUUAAUAGGAAAAGAAUACUUAUGUUGGUUCUUACAUAGGUGAACAUGUUGUAAUUUGUAGACUUUCCAAGCAUCCACUUCAAAUAAUUACCAACUUGUUACAACAGAAGUUCUGAAUUAACAUCCAAUUCAAUAUGUGAAUGGUCAUUGCUCUGCAAUUACCAUACACAUUUGAGCAAUAAAUUGAUAUCUGAAAACAUUGAACGCAUGUAUAUAAUGCUGAUCGCCUGAAUGGGCUUAGAUACAGCUCAAACAAAUUUUUGGUAUGCAUGGUCAGCUGUCAUGGCAUGAUUUUGCCAAUGGAACAUUUUAUGCAUCUUCACUUAUAGCUUUUAUCUUGCUUCCCUUCCAACCCCCAAUCUUUUGUAUCAUAU